GGGGCUGAUUCUGGAUUCGACGGGAUUUGCGAAACCCAAGGUGCAUGCCGAGGGGCGGUUGGCCUCGUAAAAAGCCGCAAAAAAAUAGUCGCAAACGACGAAAACUACGCUUUAGCAGCUUAAUAACCUGCUUAGAGCCCUCUCUCCCUAGCCUCCGCUCUUAGGACGGGGAUCAAGAGAGGUCAAACCCAAAAGAGAUCGCGUGGAUGCCCUGCCUGGGGUUGAAGCGUUAAAACGAAUCAGGCUAGUCUGGUAGUGGCGUGUCCGUCCGCAGGUGCCAGGCGAAUGUAAAGACUGACUAAGCAUGUAGUACCGAGGAUGUAGGAAUUUCGGACGCGGGUUCAACUC
Molecule: transfer-messenger RNA, 348 nt
Filed under: Salmonella enterica subsp. enterica serovar Infantis
Lineage: Bacteria; Pseudomonadati; Pseudomonadota; Gammaproteobacteria; Enterobacterales; Enterobacteriaceae
Description: partial transfer-messenger RNA
Rfam family: transfer-messenger RNA
About the family: Bacterial tmRNA, also known as 10Sa RNA or SsrA, is named for its dual tRNA and mRNA-like properties.
Source: RNAcentral